GGUUGAUCCUGCCAGUUGUCAUAUGCUUGUUUCAAGGACUAAGCCAUGCAAGUGUCAGAGUACCCGAGGUUUUCCUCGGUGAGGUCUGUGUACGGCUCAUUAAACGGUUUAUUGUCUACCCAACGAAGGAUGUGCAUUUGCCAGCCCUCGGGAUAACUUUGCUAACUGCAAAGCUAAUACCUGUACGAAGAACCUCGGACUUUUCCAACAGCAGGGUUUCCUCGGAUUCUCUGCUGUAGUGCGAGGUGCGCUUCGCCGAAACAAAAACCAACGCCGUUUUACGGCAGCUGAAACUGUUGAGGCAGGCGAAUGUCGCGAAAGCGUUCUUGAACGCGUUGUUGGACGAAUUUACCACCUAUCAGGUUGAAGGUAGUAUAGUUGACUACCUUGCCAUUGACGGGUAACGGGGAAUUGGGGUUCGAUUCCGGAGAGGGUGCUUGAGAAAUGGCAACCAUGACUACGGUCAGCAGCAGGCGCGCAAAUUGCCCAAUGCCAAUACCUGGCGAGGCAGCGACGAAAAAUAAUAACUCUGAUGCACAAAGUGUACCAGAGAUUGCAAUGGACUGUAUCCAGAAACACUGAUGAGUAUCCAUUGGAGGGCAAGUCUGGUGCCAGCAGCCGCGGUAAUUCCAGCUCCAAGAGCGUAUAUAAACGUUGUUGCGGUUAAAAAGCCCGUAGUUGGAUUUGAGAUCAUCGCCUGUGAGUUCUACUCCGGGGUACCCCCUCGGGAUCUAGAACCCACGUCAUGACGAUGUUCUGUUGCAUGCGGGAAUGGACAUCUGCCGAUACUCCUCUGGGAGUGUGUAGGCAAUUUCGGAGUCGUUACGCUCCAAAGAUGCGCCCGCAGUCGUCACUGUGAGUAAAUCAGAGUGUUCAAGGCAACCGUUUGUGCGGUUGAAUGUUAAAGCAUGGAAUGACAAGGGAUCGACCACUAUUUGGCCUCUUUUUGUUGGUUUUUAACCUUCAGUGAGGCAAACUUGUGGGAGGGUUUUCCGCUUCAAGGACUUCGGUCUCUUGAGCGGACCCUUCUACGCACGGGAUCAAUAGGAGCACAGGGGGCCGUGAGUACUGGAGGGUGAGUGGUGAAAUACUGAGACCCCUCCAAGACUGACAUCAGCGAAAGCACUCGGCUAUUGUGCUUUCAUUAAUCAAGGACGAGAGAUAGGGGAUCGAAGAGGAUUAGACACCCUCGUAGUCCUUUCCUUAAAUUCUGCAGACUUGGGAUCGGUCAGCGCUUUUCUCUUAGCCUGAUCGGCACCUUCCUCCCCUACCGAGAAAUCAAAGUCUUUGUGUUCCGGGGGGAGUACAUUCGCAAGGCUGAAACUUAAAGGAAUUGACGGAGAACCACCACCAGUCGUGGAUUGUGUGGCUUAAUUCGACCCAACACGGGAAAUUUUACCAGCACAGGACAGGGUCAGGAUUGCCAAGUUAAAGCCUUUGCUUGAUUCCCUGAAGGGUGGUGCAUGGCCGCUUCUGGUUGGUGAAUGUGAUUUGUCUGCUUAAUUGCGAUAACGAACGAGAUCUCUGCCAAUCACUAGAGCCC
This 1543-nucleotide ribosomal RNA is filed under the name metagenome. RNAcentral describes it as "SSU rRNA". It matches the Rfam family "Eukaryotic small subunit ribosomal RNA", at positions 6 to 1363 of the family's 1831-position model. The record is from RNAcentral.